UACGCAGGCGGCUAUGCAAGACAGAUGUGAAAUCCCCGGGCUUAACCUGGGAACUACAUUUGUGACUGCAUGGCUAGAGUCCGUUAGAGGGGGGUGGAAUUCCACGUGUAGCAGUGAAAUGCGUAGAGAUGUGGAGGAACACCGAUGGCGAAGGCAGCCCCCUGGGAUGAGACUGACGCUCAUGUACGAAAGCGUGGGGAGCAAACAGGAUUAGAUACCCUGGUAGUCCACGCCCUAAACGAUGUCGACUAGUUGUCGGGUCUUUACAGACUUGGUAACGCAGCUAACGCGUGAAGUCGACCGCCUGGGGAGUACGGUCGCAAGAUUAAA
RNAcentral lists this ribosomal RNA (330 nucleotides) under uncultured bacterium. Its description in RNAcentral is "bacterial SSU rRNA". It matches the Rfam family "Bacterial small subunit ribosomal RNA", at positions 568 to 898 of the family's 1533-position model. The record is from RNAcentral.